This is a long non-coding RNA of Carassius carassius (crucian carp), 993 nucleotides long. RefSeq lists it as uncharacterized. The transcript has 3 exons. Lineage: Eukaryota; Metazoa; Chordata; Actinopteri; Cypriniformes; Cyprinidae. The record is from RefSeq and is a predicted model, not a curated record.
GCAGUAUAUCACAGAUACAUGACAGAGGAGACUGACUCGUGUCUGGAUGUUACAGGGACAGAUGAGACACAUGUGUGUUUAUCUGCUGAAGAGACACUGAUGAAGGAAUGCUGCCAUCAAAGGAUUUGUGUAAGUACACUACAAAAAUAAAUUAAACAUUUUAAAUCUUAAGUUGUAUUUUAUUUUAAUGUAAUUUUAAACAACUAUUACACCUCCUUUCUUAUUCCUGAUUUCUGUGCAUUUGCUGCAGAUCUUUUGUGCUGGAGCAGGACCUGCAAGGAAAGGUGAAAAAAAGGGAAAACCUGAAACAAAAGAAUGAUGUAAUGAAUUUUUGUAUUGUGUAUGUAUAUUUUUGUAGGACAUGAAAAUGUCUGUAGACUGGUGUGUGCACUGAGGAUGGAGAAGACCAAAGCAUCAUCCUGGAAAUGAUCGAGAGUCACAGAUGAGACGCUCCCUCACUCCACCUGCCCUUUACUAUCUCAUCGGGACCAGAUGCUGCUGUGAUGUCUUCAUCCUCAGUUCGAAUACCAGGGAACACAUGUUAGGUAGUCGUGCUCAUGGGGUGCAGGCACACGAUUGUUUGGAGCAGACACAGCAGUCAGAUUGUCCUGCACGUGUUUUUCUGCUCUAGCUUCAAGGUUGUGUGGUUCAGAGAGCCGUCAUCAAGGUCUUCCUCAUCCUGUUGCUCAACGACAUCCCCGUCGAGAAGAGUGAGAUUAUGAAGUGCAGCAGCAGAACUGUAUCAGCUGUGUUCAGAUGGCAGGAGGAUGUUGGGUUCACCAUCUGUAAAUACAUGAUUGUUAGAACAAUAAGUUUGAAUGAAGCUUUGUAUCAUGUGUUGUUGACUUGUACAUUAUCAAAUCAACAGUCUUCUCCAAAGGUGAGAUCUUCGAGCAGCUGAUCGAAGUACCCUUUGUGCAGAUAUUGCAGAGUCGCUGUGAGGAGUUAGUGCACCUGACCCUCUUUUUUUAUUAUUAUUGCCAAAUUAUUUCA